RNAcentral lists this ribosomal RNA (412 nucleotides) under uncultured bacterium. Its description in RNAcentral is "bacterial SSU rRNA". It matches the Rfam family "Bacterial small subunit ribosomal RNA", at positions 94 to 541 of the family's 1533-position model. The record is from RNAcentral.
AGUGGCGGACGGGUGAGUAACGCGUGAGAAUCUGCCUUCAGGAUGGGGACAACAGUUGGAAACGACUGCUAAUACCCAAUAUGCCUAUGGGUGAAACUUUUUUGGCCUGAAGAUGAGCUCGCGUCUGAUUAGCUAGUUGGUGGUGUAAGAGACUACCAAGGCGACGAUCAGUAGCUGGUCUGAGAGGAUGAGCAGCCACACUGGGACUGAGACACGGCCCAGACUCCUACGGGAGGCAGCAGUGGGGAAUUUUCCGCAAUGGGCGAAAGCCUGACGGAGCAAUACCGCGUGAGGGAGGAAGGUUUUUGGAUUGUAAACCUCUUUUCUCAGGGAAGAAUUUUGACGGUACCUGAGGAAUAAGCACCGGCUAACUCCGUGCCAGCAGCCGCGGUAAUACGGAGGGUGCAAGCGU